Molecule: ribosomal RNA, 719 nt
Filed under: Staphylococcus aureus
Lineage: Bacteria; Bacillati; Bacillota; Bacilli; Caryophanales; Staphylococcaceae
Description: bacterial SSU rRNA
Rfam family: Bacterial small subunit ribosomal RNA
Source: RNAcentral
UUUAUGGAGAGUUUGAUCCUGGCUCAGGAUGAACGCUGGCGGCGUGCCUAAUACAUGCAAGUCGAGCGAACGGAUGAGAAGCUUGCUUCUCUGAUGUUAGCGGCGGACGGGUGAGUAACACGUGGAUAACCUACCUAUAAGACUGGGAUAACUUCGGGAAACCGGAGCUAAUACCGGAUAAUAUUUUGAACCGCAUGGUUCAAAAGUGAAAGACGGUCUUGCUGUCACUUAUAGAUGGAUCCGCGCUGCAUUAGCUAGUUGGUAAGGUAACGGCUUACCAAGGCAACGAUGCAUAGCCGACCUGAGAGGGUGAUCGGCCACACUGGAACUGAGACACGGUCCAGACUCCUACGGGAGGCAGCAGUAGGGAAUCUUCCGCAAUGGGCGAAAGCCUGACGGAGCAACGCCGCGUGAGUGAUGAAGGUCUUCGGAUCGUAAAACUCUGUUAUUAGGGAAGAACAUAUGUGUAAGUAACUGUGCACAUCUUGACGGUACCUAAUCAGAAAGCCACGGCUAACUACGUGCCAGCAGCCGCGGUAAUACGUAGGUGGCAAGCGUUAUCCGGAAUUAUUGGGCGUAAAGCGCGCGUAGGCGGUUUUUUAAGUCUGAUGUGAAAGCCCACGGCUCAACCGUGGAGGGUCAUUGGAAACUGGAAAACUUGAGUGCAGAAGAGGAAAGUGGAAUUCCAUGUGUAGCGGUGAAAUGCGCAGAGAUAUGGA